This 111-nucleotide ribosomal RNA is filed under the name uncultured bacterium. Its description in RNAcentral is "partial 16S ribosomal RNA". It matches the Rfam family "Bacterial small subunit ribosomal RNA", at positions 1373 to 1482 of the family's 1533-position model. The record is from RNAcentral.
CCCGGGCCUUGUACACACCGCCCGUCACACCACGAGAGUUUGUAACACCCGAAGUCGGUGGGGUAACCGCAAGGAGCCAGCCGCCUAAGGUGGGACAGAUGGAUUGGGGUG